This 429-nucleotide ribosomal RNA is filed under the name Chloroflexota bacterium. Its description in RNAcentral is "Chloroflexi bacterium partial 16S ribosomal RNA". It matches the Rfam family "Bacterial small subunit ribosomal RNA", at positions 355 to 776 of the family's 1533-position model. Lineage: Bacteria; Bacillati; Chloroflexota. The record is from RNAcentral.
UGGGGAAUAUUGCACAAUGGGCGCAAGCCUGAUGCAGCCAUGCCGCGUGUAUGAAGAAGGCCUUCGGGUUGUAAAGUACUUUCAGCGGGGAGGAAGGGAGUAAAGUUAAUACCUUUGCUCAUUGACGUUACCCGCAGAAGAAGCACCGGCUAACUCCGUGCCAGCAGCCGCGGUAAUACGGAGGGUGCAAGCGUUAAUCGGAAUUACUGGGCGUAAAGCGCACGCAGGCGGUUUGUUAAGUCAGAUGUGAAAUCCCCGGGCUCAACCUGGGAACUGCAUCUGAUACUGGCAAGCUUGAGUCUCGUAGAGGGGGGUAGAAUUCCAGGUGUAGCGGUGAAAUGCGUAGAGAUCUGGAGGAAUACCGGUGGCGAAGGCGGCCCCCUGGUCAAAGACUGACGCUCAGGUGCGAAAGCGUGGGGAGCAAACAGG